This 41-nucleotide ribosomal RNA is filed under the name Fusarium solani. RNAcentral's name for it is "partial 28S ribosomal RNA". The record is from RNAcentral. Lineage: Eukaryota; Fungi; Ascomycota; Sordariomycetes; Hypocreales; Nectriaceae.
AAUCAGGUAGGAAUACCCGCUGAACUUAAGCAUAUCAAUAG